GCGUUGAUGGUGUAGGGGUUAAGUGCACGACCAUGUAGAGAGGCUACAGUCCUCGAAGCAGCGGUCCCGGGUUCGAGUCCCGGACCCAGCGAU
Crenichthys baileyi (White River springfish) is the source of this 93-nucleotide non-coding RNA. NCBI's taxonomy places the organism in Eukaryota, Metazoa, Chordata, Actinopteri, Cyprinodontiformes, Goodeidae. The record is from the annotation of a GenBank genome assembly.